CUUAAAAGCCUAAGUAGUGUUUC
Molecule: non-coding RNA, 23 nt
Filed under: Arabidopsis thaliana (thale cress)
Lineage: Eukaryota; Viridiplantae; Streptophyta; Magnoliopsida; Brassicales; Brassicaceae
Source: RNAcentral